RNAcentral lists this long non-coding RNA (235 nucleotides) under Lathyrus oleraceus (garden pea). RNAcentral describes it as "Pisum sativum (pea) long non-coding RNA (PSAT_LNC038684)". The record is from RNAcentral. Lineage: Eukaryota; Viridiplantae; Streptophyta; Magnoliopsida; Fabales; Fabaceae.
AUCCCUUGUUUUUAUCCCUUGUUUUUAUCCCUUAUUUUUAUCCCUUAUUUUUAUCCCUUAUUUUUAUCCCUUAUUUUUAUCCCUUAUUUUUAUCCCUUAUUUUAAUCCCUUGAAAUCCUAAGGUUUUAACUCAUAACCUUAACCAAAGUGUUAUAUCCCUUAUCUCUAAUUAUUUAUCCCUAAAACCCUAAAAAUUAUCCCUAUUUAUUAUCCCUAAAUUAUCCCAUAAAUUUUU